CAGUCGCCGCGGGAAUACGAAGGGGGCUAGCGUUGCUCGGAAUUACUGGGCGUAAAGGGAGCGUAGGCGGAUCGUUAAGUUGGGGGUGAAGGCCCGGGGCUCAACCUCGGAACUGCCUUCAAUACUGGCGAUCUUGAGUAUGAGAGAGGUGUGUGGAACCCCGAGUGUAGAGGUGAAAUUCGUAGAUAUUCGGAAGAACACCAGUGGCGAAGGCGACACACUGGCUCAUUACUGACGCUGAGGCUCGAAAGCGUGGGGAGCAAACAGGAUUAGAUACCCGAGUAGUCCCUGUCUCUUAUAA
RNAcentral lists this ribosomal RNA (301 nucleotides) under uncultured bacterium. Its description in RNAcentral is "partial 16S ribosomal RNA". It matches the Rfam family "Bacterial small subunit ribosomal RNA", at positions 509 to 809 of the family's 1533-position model. The record is from RNAcentral.